RNAcentral lists this ribosomal RNA (503 nucleotides) under uncultured bacterium. RNAcentral's name for it is "partial 16S ribosomal RNA". It matches the Rfam family "Bacterial small subunit ribosomal RNA", at positions 30 to 523 of the family's 1533-position model. The record is from RNAcentral.
AUUGAACGCUGGCGGCAGGCUUAACACAUGCAAGUCGAGCGUGGUGAUGGUGCUUGCACUAUCACUUAGCGGCGGACGGGUGAGUAAUGCGUAGGAAUCUGCCUAUUAGUGGGGGAUAACAUAUCGAAAGGGAUGCUAAUACCGCAUACGUCCUACGGGAGAAAGCAGGGGAUCACUGGUGCCCUCGCGCUAAGAUAUGAGCCGAAGUCGGAUUAGCUUGUUGGUGGGGGAAAGGCCUACCAAGGCGAAGAUCUGGAGCGGGUCUGAGAGGAUGAUACGCCACACUGGGACUGAGACACGGGCCAGGCUCCUACGGGAGGCAGCAGUGGGGAAUAUUGGACAAUGGGGGGAACCCUGAUCCAGCCAUGCCGGGUGUGUGAAGAAGGCCUUAUGGUUGUAAAGCACUUUAAGCGAGGAGGAGGCUCUUUUGGUUAAUACCCAAGAUGAGUGGACGUUACUCGCAGAAUAAGCACCGGCUAACUCUGUGCCAGCCGCCGCAGUAA